GACGAACGCUGGCGGCGUGCUUAACACAUGCAAGUCGAACGGUGAAGCGCCUUCCUUUUUGGUGGGUGUGGAUGAGUGGCGAACGGGUGAGUAACACGUGAGUAACCUGCCCCCUUCUCCUGGAUAACCGCAUGAAAGUGUGGCUAAUACGGGAUAUUCUGGGUCUGUCGCAUGAUGGGUCUGGGAAAGAUAAUGUUUCGGUGGGGGAUGGGCUCGCGGCCUAUCAGCUUGUUGGUGGGGUGAUGGCCUACCAAGGCGGUGACGGGUAGCCGGCCUGAGAGGGUGGACGGUCACACUGGGACUGAGACACGGCCCAGACUCCUACGGGAGGCAGCAGUGGGGAAUAUUGCACAAUGGGCGCAAGCCUGAUGCAGCGACGCCGCGUGAGGGAUGGAGGCCUUCGGGUUGUGAACCUCUUUCGCCAGUGAAGCAGGCCUGCCUCGUUUGUGGGUGGGUUGACGGUAGCUGGAUAAGAAGCGCCGGCUAACUACGUG
Molecule: ribosomal RNA, 494 nt
Filed under: uncultured bacterium
Lineage: Bacteria
Description: partial 16S ribosomal RNA
Rfam family: Bacterial small subunit ribosomal RNA
Source: RNAcentral